RNAcentral lists this ribosomal RNA (509 nucleotides) under uncultured bacterium. RNAcentral describes it as "bacterial SSU rRNA". It matches the Rfam family "Bacterial small subunit ribosomal RNA", at positions 19 to 518 of the family's 1533-position model. The record is from RNAcentral.
AUGGCUCAGGAUGAACGCUAGCUACAGGCUUAACACAUGCAAGUCGAGGGGCAGCAUGAUCUAGCUUGCUAAGAUGAUGGCGACCGGCGCACGGGUGAGUAACGCGUAUCCAACCUUCCCUAUAGUAGAGUAUAGCCCGGCGAAAGUCGGAUUAAUGCUCUAUGUUCUUCUUUGAUGGCAUCUGAUGAGAAGCAAAGAUUUAUCGCUAUAGGAUGGGGAUGCGUCUGAUUAGGUUGUAGGCGGGGUAACGGCCCACCUAGCCGACGAUCAGUAGGGGUUCUGAGAGGAAGGUCCCCCACAUUGGUACUGAGACACGGACCAAACUCCUACGGGAGGCAGCAGUGAGGAAUAUUGGCCAAUGGACGCGAGUCUGAACCAGCCAAAGUAGCGUGCAGGACGACUGCCCUAUGGGUUGUAAACUGCUUUUAUAGGGGAAUAAAGUGAGGAACGUGUUCCUUUUUGUAUGUACCCUAUGAAUAAGGACCGGCUAAUUCCGUGCCAGCCGCCGC